This 528-nucleotide ribosomal RNA is filed under the name actinobacterium KV-422. RNAcentral's name for it is "bacterial SSU rRNA". It matches the Rfam family "Bacterial small subunit ribosomal RNA", at positions 340 to 878 of the family's 1533-position model. Lineage: Bacteria; Bacillati; Actinomycetota; Actinomycetes. The record is from RNAcentral.
UACGGGAGGCAGCAGUGGGGAAUAUUGCACAAUGGGCGAAAGCCUGAUGCAGCGACGCCGCGUGAGGGAUGACGGCCUUCGGGUUGUAAACCUCUUUCAGUAGGGAANAAGCGAAAGUGACGGUACCUGCAGAAGAAGCGCCGGCUAACUACGUGCCAGCAGCCGCGGUAAUACGUAGGGCGCAAGCGUUAUCCGGAAUUAUUGGGCGUAAAGAGCUCGUAGGCGGUUUGUCGCGUCUGCUGUGAAAGACCGGGGCUCAACUCCGGUUCUGCAGUGGGUACGGGCAGACUAGAGUGAUGUAGGGGAGACUGGAAUUCCUGGUGUAGCGGUGAAAUGCGCAGAUAUCAGGAGGAACACCGAUGGCGAAGGCAGGUCUCUGGGCAUUAACUGACGCUGAGGAGCGAAAGCAUGGGGAGCGAACAGGAUUAGAUACCCUGGUAGUCCAUGCAAUAUACGUUGGGCACUAGGUGUGGGGGACAUUCCACGUUUUCCGCGCCGUAGCUAACGCAUUAAGUGCCCCGCCUGGGG